AGUGAACGCUGGCGGUAGGCCUAACACAUGCAAGUCGAACGGCAGCACAGUAAGAGCUUGCUCUUACGGGUGGCGAGUGGCGGACGGGUGAGGAAUACAUCGGAAUCUACUUUUUCGGGGGGGAUAACGUAGGGAAACUUACGCUAAUACCGCAUACGACCUACGGGUGAAAGCAGGAGAUCUUCGGACCUUGCGCGAUUGAAUGAGCCGAUGUCGGAUUAGCUAGUUGGCGGGGUAAAGGCCCACCAAGGCGACGAUGCGUAGCUGGUCUGAGAGGAUGAUCAGCCACACUGGAACUGAGACACGGUCCAGACUCCUACGGGAGGCAGCAGUGGGGAAUAUUGGACAAUGGGCGCAAGCCUGAUCCAGCCAUACCGCGUGGGUGAAGAAGGUCUUCGGGUUGUAAAGCUCUUUUGUUGGGAAAGAACAGCAGCAGGUUAAUCCCCCGCUGUUCUGACGGUACCUAAUGAAUAAGCACCGGCUAACUUCGUG
This 492-nucleotide ribosomal RNA is filed under the name uncultured bacterium. Its description in RNAcentral is "partial 16S ribosomal RNA". It matches the Rfam family "Bacterial small subunit ribosomal RNA", at positions 29 to 507 of the family's 1533-position model. The record is from RNAcentral.